RNAcentral lists this ribosomal RNA (439 nucleotides) under uncultured bacterium. Its description in RNAcentral is "partial 16S ribosomal RNA". It matches the Rfam family "Bacterial small subunit ribosomal RNA", at positions 339 to 795 of the family's 1533-position model. The record is from RNAcentral.
CUACGGGACGCACCAGUGAGGAAUAUUGCACAAUGGAGGAAACUCUGAUGCAGCAACGCCGCGUGGAGGAUGACGCAUUUCGGUGUGUAAACUCCUUUUAUAUGUCAAGAAAAUGACGGUAGCAUAUGAAUAAGCACCGGCUAACUCCGUGCCAGCAGCCGCGGUAAUACGGAGGGUGCAAGCGUUACUCGGAAUCACUGGGCGUAAAGGACGCGUAGGCGGGAUAUCAAGUCAGGUGUGAAAUCCUACAGCUUAACUGUAGAACUGCACUUGAAACUGGUAACCUAGAGUAUGGGAGGGGGAGAUGGAAUUAGUGGUGUAGGGGUAAAAUCCGUAGAUAUCACUAGGAAUACCUAAAGCGAAGGCGAUCUCCUGGAACAUAACUGACGCUAAGGCGUGAAAGCGUGGGGAGCAAACAGGAUUAGAUACCCCCGUAGUC